RNAcentral lists this ribosomal RNA (492 nucleotides) under uncultured bacterium. Its description in RNAcentral is "partial 16S ribosomal RNA". It matches the Rfam family "Bacterial small subunit ribosomal RNA", at positions 29 to 507 of the family's 1533-position model. The record is from RNAcentral.
AGUGAACGCUGGCGGUAGGCCUAACACAUGCAAGUCGAACGGCAGCACAGUAAGAGCUUGCUCUUACGGGUGGCGAGUGGCGGACGGGUGAGGAAUACAUCGGACUCUACUUUUUCGUGGGGGAUAACGUAGGGAAACUUACGCUAAUACCGCAUACUACCUACGGGUGAAAGCAGGGGAUCUUCGGACCUUGCGCGAUUGAAUGCGCCGAUGUCGGAUUAGCUAGUUGGCGGGGUAAAGGCCCUCCAAGGCGACGAUCCGUAGCUGGUCUGAGAGGAUGAUCAGCCACACUGGAACUGAGACACGGUCCAGACUCCUACGGGAGGCAGCAGUGGGGAAUAUUGGACAAUGGGCGCAAGCCUGAUCCAGCCAUACCGCGUGGGUGAAGAAGGCCUUCGGGUUGUAAAGCCCUUUUGUUGGGAAAGAAAAGCAGAAGGUUAAUACCCCGCUGUUCUGACGGUACCCAAAGAAUAAGCACCGGCUAACUUCGUG